CAGGCUGGUCGGGCAAUCGCGGUCCUGCGUUGACGGGAUCGAGGAAAGUCCGCACUCCUAUAGAGCACGGCGUCGGAGAGUACCCCGGGGCGGGGAAGCCGCCGAGAGGCGUGAACCUGCCGGAAUGGGCCACAGAAACAGUCAGCGACCCCCACCCGUCCUCUCCCAAAUUCCUUCGGAAUUUGGGAGAGGCGCCCCGCAAGGGGCGGAGGGGGCGUGAUGGUGAAAAGGUGGUGUAAGAGACCACCGGCGCAUGUAGUAAUACAUGCGGCCAGGCAACCCCCGCCGGGAGCAAGGCCAAGCAGGGACGAUUUCGUCUGUGGACGAUGGGAGGCUGCUCGUCUCCUUACGCGCCCUUCCCUCCUGUGGGUUGGGUCGGAGCGGCGACGCUCCGCCCAGAGAGAUGAUUGCCCAGGUGGAAACACCGGACAGAAUGCGGCUUAUAGACCAGCCUGGAGC
This 459-nucleotide RNase P RNA is filed under the name Anaerolineales bacterium. Its description in RNAcentral is "RNase P RNA component class A". It matches the Rfam family "Bacterial RNase P class A". From Rfam's summary of the family: Ribonuclease P (RNase P) is a ubiquitous endoribonuclease, found in archaea, bacteria and eukarya as well as chloroplasts and mitochondria. Lineage: Bacteria; Bacillati; Chloroflexota; Anaerolineae; Anaerolineales. The record is from RNAcentral.